ACGGGGCUGCUGGCCGGAGGGCUGGCGAGGACCCGAGUUUGGCCAGGUUAUCAAGUUUCGUGGUCAGCCACCUUCGCCCCUGACCAGAGCUGUCUUUCCAAAACAGAACAUUCAGUCACCGCCCGUCCCUGUGCUCAGCUGUCCUUGUGCUCCUGACCUCGCUUCCUGCCCACCCGCCCAUUUGUUUUUUUCCUCCCCAUCCCCCAGUAUCCUUGUCUCUUACUGACAUCUCGCGAAGAUGACCAGGGCAGGCAAGACAGAGUCAGAGAGAAAGAGAAGCUGAGAGGCCCAGACGGGAGAGAAUCGGAGAGGCUGUCAGGCACUGAAGGAUCAGGACAGAGGCUGGUCACGAGUGAGACAAAGAGACGUGUGCCCAAGACCUCGUCUCCUGUAUCUUCGUUCUCCAGCAUCUGUUGCUGCUCGACACAGAGGAGGAGAGCACAAACCUGAGGCUUAGAGAGGUGAGGUCACUGACCUCAGGUCACAUAGCCAGAAAGUGGAGGAGCCAAGAGUCCAGAUGCAGAAACUGAGGCUCAGCUGAUGAAGCCCCUGGCCAGAGGUCACACAGCUGGAUUGAACCCAGAUGAAGAAACUGAGGCUCAGGAAGCUAGAGUCACUCUCUCAGGACCACCUGGUAAUUUGUUAAGUGGCAGAGCCAUGCGUCCAGCCCGGCCACCCUAUUGAGCAGAUAGCAGCCCCCAUUUCCUGAGCAGCUGCUGAGUGCCAGGCUACGCGAGCCAGAUGCCUUACCCACAUCGUCUCUUUCAACUGAGGUGGCAGUUCUCAGCCCAGCAGGAUUUUUUUCCCCUCAGGAGGCUUUAGGCUACAUCAGGGGUCAUUUGGGGUUUUCACAACUGGGGACAUGCUCCUGGCAUCUCAGGGAUGGAGAUCAGUGAUGCCUUUCAGCAUCCCACCCCGCAAAGGGCAGCCCCCACAGCACAGAACAUGAGUAAAUAAGAGUUGCUCAGUUGUGUCCAACUCUUCACGAACCCAUGGACUGUAGCCCUCCAGACUCCUCUGUCCAUGUAUUUCUGCAGGCCAGAAUACUGGAGUGGGUUUGCCAUGCCCUCCUCCAGGGGAUCUUCCUGAUCCAGGGAUGGAACCUGCGUCUCCCACAUUGCAGGCAGAUUCUUUACUGACUGAGCCACCAGGGAAGAUCCAGCCCCCAAUGUCAGUAGCAUGGAGGCUGAGAACCCCGCUGUAAGGUGAGGACAGGUGGGAACCCCGCUGUAAGGUGAGGACAGGUGAGAGCUCUGCAGUAACCCUGUUACAAUCUCCAGCCGCGGACGUGGAAGCCAAGGCACAGACAGAGAGCCCCACUGCUGGGGCUCCCACCCCAUGACCCUGCUCUUCCCUCACGAGACCCAAGGCCACUUCUGAUGGCGUCUGCCCUUAGGAGACCUCAACUAACCUCUAUUCCAGGCCCUCUGAAGCCCUUGCAUGCCUAAUAUAAACAAGGCCUCACUGCUUUUUCACAUGUGAAGACGGGGUUUUAAUCACCGACUGAGGAAAGAGAUCAAGCCAAAAAGUCACCGGGACAGUCAGAAUGGCUUUAAAUGUGUUGGUACCUUAUUCACAACAGCAGAGGGGGCCACUGGGAACUGGCCUCACAGGGAUUCGUGGAGCAAAGGUUUCCUGAGCACUGCUAGGUGCCAGGCCCUGUCUCUGGUGCAGGAGAUACAGCAGAGAACCAGACAGACCGGCCCUACUGGGUCUUUAAGAGAUAGCAGUCUUGUGGGGAUGGUGGAUAAUCAACAGGAAAACAAACAGUAAAGACAGCUUCAGACUGUGUGGAGAGGGAAGGGCUGUCACAGGGAGGGCAGAGUCCAAGGGGGCCUUUCUGAGGAGGUGGGACCUGAAGGAUACCAAGCAAUAGCCUUGGGAAGAGGCAGGGCGGAAGGCUCCAGGCCAAGGGAACAGCAUGUGCAAAGGCCCCAGGGCAGGCGCACGUGUGGAGUGUUGAGGCCCAGCAAACAGGCAUGGGGCUGGAGAGGAGCUUAGAGAAGUAACCAGCACACAGCUGUGUAGGACUCUGUGGCCACUGUAAGGGCUUUGCAUGUGCUCUGAGAGAGCUGGGGGUUAU
Long non-coding RNA from Bubalus bubalis (water buffalo), 2083 nucleotides. RefSeq lists it as uncharacterized. The transcript is spliced from 5 exons. NCBI's taxonomy places the organism in Eukaryota, Metazoa, Chordata, Mammalia, Artiodactyla, Bovidae. The record is from RefSeq and is a predicted model, not a curated record.